This 286-nucleotide ribosomal RNA is filed under the name uncultured soil bacterium. RNAcentral describes it as "partial 16S ribosomal RNA". It matches the Rfam family "Bacterial small subunit ribosomal RNA", at positions 26 to 299 of the family's 1533-position model. The record is from RNAcentral.
AGGACGAACGCUGGCGGCGUGCUUAACACAUGCAAGUCGAGCGGUAAGGCCUUUCGGGGUACACGAGCGGCGAACGGGUGAGUAACACGUGGGUGAUCUGCCCUGCACUUCGGGAUAAGCCUGGGAAACUGGGUCUAAUACCGGAUAUGACCUCCUAUCGCAGUGGUGGGUGGUGGAAAGUAUUUAUCGGUGCGUAGGUUCGGGCCCGCGGCCGUAUCGAGUCGUUGGUUGGGUGGGGUAAUCGGCCCUAACGAAGGACGACGGUACGGGUACGCCGACCGUGAGG